UACUAGAGUAGCACUCGCAUAUCAAUAAGCGGAGGAAAAGAAACUAACAAGGAUUCCCCUAGUAACGGCGAGUGAAGCGGGAAGAGCUCAAAUUUGAAAUCUUAAAGGGUUUCCCUUUACGAAUUGUAGUUUAAAGAAGUGUUUUCUGUUGAGGUUUUGGUAAAAGUUCUUUGGAAUAGGACAUCAUAGAGGGUGAGAAUCCCGUAUUUGACCUUUACUUUCAACUUUGUGAUACACUUUCAAAGAGUCGGAUUGUUUGGGAAUGCAGUCCAAAAUGGGUGGUAAAUUUCAUCUAAAGCUAAAUAUUGGCGAGAGACCGAUAGCGAACAAGUACCGUGAGGGAAAGAUGAAAAGAACUUUGAAAAGAGAGUUAAACAGUACGUGAAAUUGUCAAAAGGGAAGCGUUUGACACCAGUGUUGUUUUUCUGAAAAUCAAUUAAAGAACUGUUUAUGCUAAGCUGUUUAGACUUUAUCAGCUAAUCUGUUUAGUUUUGAGCUUUUCUUUAAUGCACUUUUCAGUUAACAAGUCAACAUCAAUUUCUUUUGCUGUAAAAAAGCUUGAGGAAGGUGGCUUGAGAUUCGUCUUAGGUGUUUAUAGCCUCUUGCCUAUGCAGUCGGAGAGAUUGAGGUCUGCAGCGUAGAUCCUUCGGGGCUAAAUGCGUUUGUGCUAAGUUAUAGCAUUUUAUAGACAACUUGUUGACUAUGAUUUGUCUUGUAGCUUACUCGCUUAUGUUAUUUUACCUACGCUUAGGAUGUUGAGCGCAUGUCUCUCUCU
This 775-nucleotide ribosomal RNA is filed under the name uncultured Neocallimastigales. Its description in RNAcentral is "partial large subunit ribosomal RNA". It matches the Rfam family "Eukaryotic large subunit ribosomal RNA", at positions 20 to 616 of the family's 3401-position model. The record is from RNAcentral. Lineage: Eukaryota; Fungi; Neocallimastigomycota; Neocallimastigomycetes; Neocallimastigales.